GUUUAACGACUGAGCCACCCAGGCGCCCUCAUUUCCCUCUUUUUACACAUAGCACCAUAGCACUAGAAGGGCCGUUAUUAACACUGUUCCUCUGUUUUAGAUUGCAGAAGAUAUUGCUAAGAGCUCAGGCUUUGGAACAGCCUGGAAUUCAGUCUGAAUUCAGAGCCAGCAACUAAGAGCUUUGUGAUCUCAGCCAUGAAGACAGGUGAAAUUUUCCAGGAGGUGUCUUCUAUGGAGAAAUUGAACCAGAGAGGUCUGACUUCCAGGCAUGAGAGAGAGAGAAAGCACAAGCAGGUUGAGCGGGAGAG
Leptonychotes weddellii (Weddell seal) is the source of this 308-nucleotide non-coding RNA. Lineage: Eukaryota; Metazoa; Chordata; Mammalia; Carnivora; Phocidae. The record is from RefSeq and is a predicted model, not a curated record.